RNAcentral lists this ribosomal RNA (255 nucleotides) under uncultured bacterium. Its description in RNAcentral is "partial 16S ribosomal RNA". It matches the Rfam family "Bacterial small subunit ribosomal RNA", at positions 524 to 776 of the family's 1533-position model. The record is from RNAcentral.
CACGUAGGCAGCGAGCGUUUGUUCGGAGUUACUGGGCGUAAAGGGUGUGUAGGCGGUUCUUUUAAGUUUGGCGUGAAAUCUCCCGGCUCAACCGGGAGGGUGCGUCGAAUACUGAGGGACUAGAGUACGGGAGAGGAAAGUGGAAUUCCUGGUGUAGCGGUGAAAUGCGUAGAUAUCAGGAGGAACACCGGUGGUGUAGACGGCUUUCUGGACCGUAACUGACGCUGAGACACGAAAGCGUGGGUAGCAAACAGG